GGUCGGGUCCCAUGCAAGCGCCGCACGUGAACCUGGUCAGGUAGGGAACUAAGCAGCCAUAAGCGAUUGCGUCGCUGUGCUGUGGUAAACCCGGCCACC
RNAcentral lists this signal recognition particle RNA (99 nucleotides) under Planctomycetota bacterium. RNAcentral's name for it is "Planctomycetes bacterium signal recognition particle sRNA small type". It matches the Rfam family "Bacterial small signal recognition particle RNA". Rfam says of the family: The signal recognition particle (SRP) is a universally conserved ribonucleoprotein involved in the co-translational targeting of proteins to membranes. Lineage: Bacteria; Pseudomonadati; Planctomycetota. The record is from RNAcentral.